Molecule: ribosomal RNA, 334 nt
Filed under: uncultured bacterium
Lineage: Bacteria
Description: bacterial SSU rRNA
Rfam family: Bacterial small subunit ribosomal RNA
Source: RNAcentral
CGUGUAGGCGGUCGGCCAAGUCUGAUGUGAAAGCCCGAGGCUCAGCCUCGGAAGUGCGUCGGAAACUAGUCGGCUGGAGCGCGAUAGAGGAGGGUGGAAUUCCUGGUGUAGCGGUGAAAUGCGUAGAUAUCAGGAGGAACACCGGCGGCGAAGGCGGCCCUCUGGAUCGUUGCUGACGCUGAGACGGCGAAAGCGUGGGGAGCAAACAGGAUUAGAUACCCCUGGUAAGUCCACGCUGUAAACGAUGGGUACUAGGUGUUCGGGGUAUUGACCCCCUGAGUGCCGCAGCUAACGCAUUAAGUACCCCGCCUGGGGACUACGGCCGCAAGGUUAA